This 342-nucleotide ribosomal RNA is filed under the name uncultured Glomeromycotina. Its description in RNAcentral is "eukaryotic LSU rRNA". The record is from RNAcentral. Lineage: Eukaryota; Fungi; Glomeromycota.
AUCAGCCUUUCGGGUGCGAUUCUGUGGAGUGUGAGGAGCUUAAACACCUUCAUGUUUUGCAUAUUCGUACUCUUGGGUGUACUUGCCCGUGUGGUUGGUUAACAUCAAUUUUGGUGGUCAUAAAAUGACUGGAGGAAUGUAGCUUCGAUCUUGUAUUGAAGUGUUAUAGCCUUCGGUAGAUGUGAUGAUCGAGAUUGAGGAUUGCAACGGAUACCCUUCGGGGCUACCUGUCUGAUCUCUGAUCGUUGUUCUGGUGCCGAAAGCUUGCUUACGGUUAUCAAAGUCGAUGGUCAAUAGGUUAGAACGGGUUAAAUUCGUUAAGGAUGUUGACGUAAUGGCUUU